CCUACGGGAGGCAGCAGUGAGGAAUAUUGGACAAUGGGCGCAAGCCUGAUCCAGCCAUGCCGCGUGCAGGAAGAAGCAUCUAUGGUGUGUAAACUGCUUUUGUACAGGAAGAAACACUCCCUCGUGAGGGAGCUUGACGGUACUGUAAGGAUAAGGACCGGCUAACUCCGUGCCAGCAGCCGCGGUAAUACGGAGGGUCCGAGCGUUAUCCGGAAUCAUUGGGUUUAAAGGGUCCGUAGGCGGUUUAAUAAGUCAGUGGUGAAAUCUGGUCGCUCAACGAUCAAACGGCCAUUGAUACUGUUAGACUUGAAUUAUAAGGAAGUAACUAGAAUAUGUAGUGUAGCGGUGAAAUGCUUAGAUAUUACAUGGAAUACCAAUUGCGAAGGCAGGUUACUACUUAUGGAUUGACGCUGAUGGACGAAAGCGUGGGGAGCGAACAGGAUUAGAUACCCUGGUAGUCCACGCCGUAAACGAUGGAUACUAGCUGUUCGGAGCAAUCUGAGUGGCUAAGCGAAAGUGAUAAGUAUCCCACCUGGGGAGUACGUUCGCAAGAAUGAAACUCGAAAAGGAAUUGACGG
This 578-nucleotide ribosomal RNA is filed under the name uncultured bacterium. Its description in RNAcentral is "bacterial SSU rRNA". It matches the Rfam family "Bacterial small subunit ribosomal RNA", at positions 338 to 916 of the family's 1533-position model. The record is from RNAcentral.